Molecule: ribosomal RNA, 406 nt
Filed under: uncultured bacterium
Lineage: Bacteria
Description: partial 16S ribosomal RNA
Rfam family: Bacterial small subunit ribosomal RNA
Source: RNAcentral
AUUGAACGCUGGCGGCAGGCCUAACACAUGCAAGUCGAACGAGUGGCGGACGGGUGAGUUAUGUCUGGGAAACUGCCUGAUGGAGGGGGCUAACUACUGGAAACGGUAGCUAAUCCCGCCUACUAUCGGAUGUGCCCCGCUGUGAUUAGCUAGUAGGUGGGGUAACGGCUAACCUAGGCGACGAUCCCGAGCUGGUCUGAGAGGAUGACCAGCCACACUGGAACUGAGGCACGAGCCAGACUCCAACGGUAGGCAGCAGUGGGGAAGAUUGCACAAUUGGCGCAAGCCUGAAGCAGCCAUGCCGCGUGUAUGAGGAAGGCCUUCGGGUUGUAAGGUACUUUCAGCGGGGAGGCGUUACCCGCAGAAGAAGCACCGGCUAACUCCGUGCCAGCAGCCGCGGUAAUAC